UUCAUUCACACUUGACACCCGAGCUUCUUCCUCACGAGCUGCUUCUUCUCUGGUCGCAUGAGCUUCUUCCGCCGUGGCCGCCAUUCGCAUCGCACGAUCUCUCUGUCAUCCCUUGCGUCGCACGAGCUCCUUCCGCCGCCGCUCUUGUCGCGUCUGCUCCCUUGGUCGCCAUCGUUGCAGAGCUCCUUCCGCCGCUCUCAUCGCGUCUGCUCCCUUCAUAGCCGUCGUCACAGAGCUCUCUCUGCCGCCGCUCUUGUCGCGUUUGCUCCCUUAGUGAAUUUCAGGUUUAUCAAUUAUUUUACUAUCAGCGAAGAAAGAGAUUCCAGAUUGAUAACAACAUAGAGAUGCCAGAGUUAUGCCCGGAAUGGUUAGCAUUGUUGAUCUUUGAGAAGGCUUGUUUAUCUUCCAUUUCUCUUUAUGAAACUUCUGGUGUUGUAUGUAAGACUGGUCGAAAUUUUAA
Arachis ipaensis is the source of this 460-nucleotide non-coding RNA. Lineage: Eukaryota; Viridiplantae; Streptophyta; Magnoliopsida; Fabales; Fabaceae. The record is from RefSeq and is a predicted model, not a curated record.